This 882-nucleotide ribosomal RNA is filed under the name Ruehmaphelenchus formosanus. RNAcentral's name for it is "bacterial SSU rRNA". It matches the Rfam family "Eukaryotic small subunit ribosomal RNA", at positions 34 to 946 of the family's 1831-position model. The record is from RNAcentral. Lineage: Eukaryota; Metazoa; Nematoda; Chromadorea; Rhabditida; Aphelenchoididae.
UUUUAAAAGUAUAAAAAGAGCAUGUCUAAGUGGAGUAGAAUAAAGCGAAACUGCGAACGGCUCAUUAUAACAGAUAUAACUUACUGGUUCUAUUCAUUCUUAAAUGGAUAACUGCGGUAAUUCUGGAGCUAAUACAUGCGUCAAUGUGUGUUCUUAAUUGAUCACACAGCAUUUAUUGGAGCAAAAUCAAUUUUAAAUUGUUUGCUAACUCUGGAUAAUUCAGCUUAUCUUGAAAAUAUUUCAAGAAGAAACCUUCAGGUAUCUGCUUUAUCAACUAUCGUUGGUAGUGUAUUGGACUACCAUGGUGUUAACGGGUAACGGAGAAUCAGGGUUUGACUCCGGAGAGGGAGCCUUAGAAACGGCUACCAUGUCUAAGGAUAGCAGCAGGCGCGAAAAUUACCCAAUAUCAAAGCGAUGAGGUAGUGACGAGAAAUAACGAGAUCGUUCUCUAUGAGGUCGAUUAUUGGAAUGAGUGCAAUCCAGAAAAGUCGAACGAUUAACAACGAGAGGGCAAGUCUGGUGCCAGCAGCCGCGGUAAUUCCAGCUCUCGUAAUGUAUAGAAUUAUUGUUGCGAUUAAAAAGUUCGUAGUUGGAUUUCUUUGUUGUUUUUGGUUCAAGCUUUAUGUUUGAUACUAAGAAUGGCAUAUUUCAUUUGGUUUGUUUGUUAGUUCAUUCUAGCAAAGAACAAAAUGAGGCUACUUUGAACGGCUCAAGUGCUUAAAGCAUGUCUUCGGACAGAAUACCGGUGCAUGGAAUAAUGGAACAAGGUUUGCGGCCGAGUUUUAUUGGUUUUGUCGGCUGAAACAAUGGUUAACAGGAACAGCCGGGGGCAUUCGUAUCGCUGCGCGAGAGGUGAAAUAAUGACCGGGGAUGGCCAAGGGC